Molecule: ribosomal RNA, 525 nt
Filed under: uncultured bacterium
Lineage: Bacteria
Description: bacterial SSU rRNA
Rfam family: Bacterial small subunit ribosomal RNA
Source: RNAcentral
AACGAACGCUGGCGGCAUGCCUAACACAUGCAAGUCGAACGAAGUCUUCGGACUUAGUGGCGCACGGGUGCGUAACGCGUGGGAAUCUGCCCUUGGGUACGGAAUAACUCAGAGAAAUUUGUGCUAAUACCGUAUAAUGACUUCGGACCAAAGAUUUAUCGCCCAAGGAUGAGCCCGCGUAAGAUUAGCUAGUUGGUGGGGUAAAAGCCUACCAAGGCGACGAUCUUUAGCUGGUCUGAGAGGAUGAUCAGCCACACUGGGACUGAGACACGGCCCAGACUCCUACGGGAGGCAGCAGUGGGGAAUAUUGGACAAUGGGCGAAAGCCUGAUCCAGCAAUGCCGCGUGAGUGAUGAAGGCCUUAGGGUUGUAAAGCUCUUUUUACCCCGGGGAUGAUAAUGACAGUACCGGGAGAAUAAGCUCCGGCUAACUCCGUGCAGCAGCCGCGGUAAUACGGAGGGAGCUAGCGUUGUUCGGAAUUACUGGGCGUAAAGCGCGCGUAGGCGGUUUUUUCAAGUCAGAGGUG